Molecule: transfer RNA, 76 nt
Filed under: Niabella sp.
Lineage: Bacteria; Pseudomonadati; Bacteroidota; Chitinophagia; Chitinophagales; Chitinophagaceae
Description: tRNA-Arg
Rfam family: tRNA
About the family: Transfer RNA (tRNA) molecules are approximately 80 nucleotides in length. Their secondary structure includes four short double-helical elements and three loops (D, anti-codon, and T loops). Further hydrogen bonds mediate the characteristic L-shaped molecular structure. tRNAs have two regions of fundamental functional importance: the anti-codon, which is responsible for specific mRNA codon recognition, and the 3' end, to which the tRNAs corresponding amino acid is attached (by aminoacyl-tRNA synthetases). tRNAs cope with the degeneracy of the genetic code in two manners: having more than one tRNA (with a specific anti-codon) for a particular amino acid; and 'wobble' base-pairing, i.e. permitting non-standard base-pairing at the 3rd anti-codon position.
Source: RNAcentral
GCCCUCGUAGCUCAGUGGAUAGAGCACAGGUUUCCUAAACCUGGUGUCGGAGGUCCGAUUCCCCCCGAGGGCACCA